GCGCGAUUGGCGCAGUUGGUUAGCGCGCUUCCCCGACACGGAAGAGGUCACUGGUUCGAGUCCAGUAUCGCGCA
Molecule: non-coding RNA, 74 nt
Organism: Enteractinococcus sp.
Lineage: Bacteria; Bacillati; Actinomycetota; Actinomycetes; Micrococcales; Micrococcaceae
Source: Rfam